RNAcentral lists this ribosomal RNA (1670 nucleotides) under Plasmodium sp. type C2. RNAcentral's name for it is "SSU rRNA". It matches the Rfam family "Eukaryotic small subunit ribosomal RNA", at positions 37 to 1460 of the family's 1831-position model. Lineage: Eukaryota; Apicomplexa; Aconoidasida; Haemosporida; Plasmodiidae. The record is from RNAcentral.
UCAAAGAUUAAGCCAUGCAAGUGAAAGUAUAUAUAUAUUUAUUAUAUAGAAACUGCGAACGGCUCAUUAAAACAGUUAUAAUCUACUUGACAUUUUUUUUAUAAGGAUAACUACGGAAAAGCUGUAGCUAAUACUUGAACGAUUGUUCUUCAGUUCCCCAAAAAGGUUCUGUAGAACACGUAUUUGUUAAGCCUAAUAAGAAAAAAGUUAUUAACUUAAGGAAUUAUAACAAAGAAGGAACACAUAAUAAAACUUUGUUUUAUUUAGUGUGUAUCAAUCGAGUUUCUGACCUAUCAGCUUUUGAUGUUAGGGUAUUGGCCUAACAUGGCUAUGACGGGUAACGGGGAAUUAGAGUUCGAUUCCGGAGAGGGAGCCUGAGAAAUAGCUACCACAUCUAAGGAAGGCAGCAGGCGCGUAAAUUACCCAAUUCUAAAGAAGAGAGGUAGUGACAAGAAAUAACAAGGUAAGGUCAAAUUUUGGCUUUGCCAUUGGAAUGAUAGGAAUUUAAAAACUUCCUAAAGUAACAAUUGGAGGGCAAGUCUGGUGCCAGCAGCCGCGGUAAUUCCAGCUCCAAUAGCGUAUAUUAAAAUUGUUGCAGUUAAAACGCUCGUAGUUGAAUUUCAAAGAAUCAAUAAUAGCGAAUACAAUAUCAGAUAUGUGUUAAAUAUAGUGCUUCGGCUUAUAUUUUCCACAUUUCCGAUUAUAUGUAUUGUUAAAAAUAUAAUAGGUUUUUUUAUAAAAAUUCUUCGUUGCUUUAUGUGAUGAGAAUUUUUUGUUACUUUGAGUAAAUUAGAGUGUUCAAAGCAGACGGUUUAUAAAACAGGUAAAACUGGGUUUGAAUACUACAGCAUGGAAUAACAAAAUUGAACAAGCUAAAAUUUUUGUUCUUUUUUCUUAUUUUGGCUUAGUUACGAUUAAUAGGAGUAGUUUGGGGACAUUCGUAUUCAGAUGUCAGAGGUGAAAUUCUUAGAUUUUCUGGAGACGAACAACUGCGAAAGCAUUUGUCUAAAAUACUUCCAUUAAUCAAGAACGAAAGUUAAGGGAGUGAAGACGAUCAGAUACCGUCGUAAUCUUAACCAUAAACUAUGCCAACUAGGUGUUGGAUGAAAGUGUAAAAAAUAAAAGAUGAUCUAAUGUAACAGUUAGAUUGUCUUUUAGCUUGCUUCCUUCAGUACCUUAUGAGAAAUCAAAGUCUUUGGGUUCUGGGGCGAGUAUUCGCGCAAGCGAGAAAGUUAAAAGAAUUGACGGAAGGGCACCACCAGGCGUGGAGCUUGCGGCUUAAUUUGACUCAACACGGGAAAACUCACUAGUUUAAGACAAGAGUAGGAUUGACAGAUUAAUAGCUCUUUCUUGAUUUCUUGGAUGGUGAUGCAUGGCCGUUUUUAGUUCGUGAAUAUGAUUUGUCUGGUUAAUUCCGAUAACGAACGAGAUCUUAACCUGCUAAUUAGCGGUAAAUACAACAUAUUCUUAAGUAAAUAAGAAUAUAGAUAAAAAUAACAAAUAAGAGAAAAUAUUAGGAUGUUAUUAUAUAUAAUAUCUUUUUCCCUUUUCUUCUUAUUAUGUUUUUUUAUUCUAUUUCUUUUUUUACUUAAGAAUGUAUUUACUUGAUUGUAAAGCUUCUUAGAGGAACAUUGUGUGUCUAACACAAGGAAGUUUAAGGCAACAACAGG